GUCCUCGUGGUGAAAUGGAUAUCACGGCAGACUUCGAAUCUGCUGUUGAGGGUUCGAAUCCCUCCGAGGACA
RNAcentral lists this transfer RNA (72 nucleotides) under Candidatus Berkelbacteria bacterium. Its description in RNAcentral is "tRNA-Arg". It matches the Rfam family "tRNA". From Rfam's summary of the family: Transfer RNA (tRNA) molecules are approximately 80 nucleotides in length. Their secondary structure includes four short double-helical elements and three loops (D, anti-codon, and T loops). Lineage: Bacteria; Candidatus Berkelbacteria. The record is from RNAcentral.